CACGGACAGCACCGGCGCCGGCAUCUCAUCCGCGCCGAGCUCCGGCACCAGUCCCCGGAACGCCGCGACGUCGUGCUCCUCGUCGCCGGCGAGGCUGCGGAGGUCGCCGCCGUCGGCCUCGGCCUCGACGAAGGCGACGGCGGCGGCGGAGCAGUCGACGGCGACGUCGCCGGUGGCGGGGAGGUAGGCGAGCUUGCCGGCGAGGGGGAGGAAGCGGCGGAGGGUGGCGGAGAGGGAGGAUUUGAGGGAUUGGAGGAGGGCGGGGAAGGGGGGCAGGUCGGGGGAGGGCUCGUAGAUGAGGAUGCGCUGGAUCGGGGGGUAGGCGAGCCAGUGGGUGUCGAAGAGCGAGAGCUUGAUUAAGUUCCCGGGAGGGUUUGGGACGGGGGCGCCAUCCGGGAGUGGGACGUGGCUCACGUUAAGAAUCCGCACCUCCCACAUCAGAAACUGCAAAUUAUGAUGAUGGAAAAAUAACGGAGAUCAAGAAGAGGACGAAGCAGCAGCAGCAGCAGCAGCCGCAGCAGAGAGCCGGAUUAUGAACUGGUGGCUGAAUCGAACGCAGAAGAAGACUAUCAAUACACGCAACUAUAUAUAUAAAUUAUUAUAUACACAUUGCUUUCAAUUCUUUUAAAAAAUAAGACUAAAUUACAUAAAAUCUCCUAUCAAAACAUAAUUUUUUUUUUUUUGUCAUUAAAAAUCUACACUUUAUUUUCAUUAUAAAAUAAAAAAUAGUAAUAAAAAAUUAUGGUGUAAAUUAUGAUGAUAAAAUAAUCAUUUUAUCCCUCAUCAUUUUUUAUAACAAAAGAGAAGUCUAUGAACAUUUUUAGCAUAAAAAAUAUAUAAUAAUAUUUUAUAAGCGGAAUCUAACAAAUCACUAACGGUAGGAGAUGAAAUGAAUAUUUUUUAUUUUGUAAUGAAGGACAAAAUAUAGAUUUUUAAAUAACAAAACAAAUAAAAAAUUAAAUUUUAACAAAAAAAAAAAUCUGUAAUUUAGCCAAGGAAUAAUACCCCACACACACACACACCAAAAGGGUUAUACAAUGUACACUUUAUUGAUCUACUAUCCAUGUGAUUAAUAAAAGUCAUUGUACGUCAUACAUGCCAUUAGUAAGUGAACAAAUAGUUAUUUUUUUAAAAAAAAAUCAACUAUACAAACGGGGAAUAAAUAAAAUUACAAAUUUACCGAUCGUCCGUAGAGCAAGUGAUAAAGAGGUUGAUAGUUGGUACCCGAGAUCCAAGUUCGAUUCAUAGUUGAUUCAUAUUUUCAACUAAAUUUAUUUCUAAAUAAAAAAAAAUAAAGCUUCUAAAGAAAAAUAAAUUUAUUCCUCAUAAAUUUUAACCAUUAAAUAUAAAUUGGAGUUCUCUUUGUUACAGUUUAUUCUUUUUCUCCUUGGGAAUUGGGAUAGUGUAGCGGUGACGAUCGCCUUUUUUGGAAAACCUUCUUAAUUGCUUUGACGAGCUCACCAUUGUCGAUCCGGCCCAGCUUAGCUGCUCGUCUUCGCGCUUAGUAAAUAUUUUAUCUAAUAAUAAAUAUUUUAUUCUUACCUAAUCUAUAUAUUUUAUAUUAAAUUUAAAUUUUUUUUAUUUAAUAUAUAAUUUAGAUAUAAAGAUAUUAUUUUUCAAGAGUAUUUAAUGAGCGAGAGUACAACAUCCCCAUGUAUUCGCUGUCACGUGUGGAUGAGGCAAAUGGUUGGCUCUGUUUGAUUGGUUAACCGCGAGGGGGCGCUCUUCCAAUAUUAUGUACCCUAAGCCAUUUUUUAAGCUAAAAAAAUAAAUAAAAAAAUUAAUUGAACAUAAGAUAGUAGAAUUAAUAAUAUCAACAAUACCUACUUUGGCUUCUGUAUUUACUUUAUUUUAAAAAUAUUAAUUAUAUAAUAAUAAUUUUAUGAGGCGGCAUUUAUUUUAUUUUAAAAAUGUUAAUUAUAUAAUAAUUUAAUGUGGCGGCAAAGACAUUUUUUCUUAUUGUCAUAUUUGAUUAGUUAACGAUACAUUAUGAUUAAAUGACAGAUGUUGAGUUAUUAUAACAAUACAUUAUGAUUAAAUGACAAAUGUCGAGUUAACAAAACAUUAUGAUUUUUAAAGAUACGUAAUCCAAAUUUUCCACAGCAUUGGAGUGUUGGCGAAAGAGUGGGCUGACUUCAGUCGAGUUUGGUGACGUUUUACUUGUUGGGCUGUAUAGUGUUUUUGUCACCUGUGGUCGAUUGGUCGUCAGUCUUUCUUUUUUUCUUUUUUUCCUUUUGCUACUCUUUUUUUUUUUUUUCUGGUCUUCGCGUCUUUUUGAGGCCUUAGCUGCCUCGCCCUUUAUAGCUAAUUUUAUUUACUGAAUGAAUGAAGCGGAUGGCAUGCUACCUUCCUCUCUAAAAAAAAAAAAAAACAAAACAUUAUGAUUAAAUGACAGAAUUGUACGCAAUCAAUCACUAAUAAGAACAUAAUUAAACGCCUCAUCUGUAAUACAAUUUUAAUUAUGAUAUCGCAUAACAAAUAUGACCUCCUCAAUAGUUAAUUAAUCAGCAAGGGUCUGGUCGGCCUCGUUGAGAAAGUGAGCCUUAAACGCAUCGAUGUGGUUCGGGCUCAGCGACACCGACACUUGGACCCCACCGUCCCGGCCCCCGACCAGCACGAUCUCCCCGUCGUGGUUCAUGGACACCAGCCGAAGUCGGUCUCGUACACCCUGAACCGGGGCGACGCCGCCACGUUGGCGAGCCGGUCCAGCGGGAGCACCAUAAACCGGUCCAUCCAGUUAUGAGACAUCGGGUCAUCCAGCGCCUCGCGGAUCGCCGCUUGGAUCGCCGAGGAGGCGCGGGGGAGCGCGUCGGGGCCGGAGAACUCGCCAGCUGGCGCCGUCGCGAAGCAGCCCUUGAUCAAAUUACCGAAGUACCCCUCGUCGACCGGGGGGUCGAGCCGGGUCCGGACGUCCGCGAGGAAGCAGAGGUGGGCGUCGCCGCCGGCCCGGUCCAGCGACUUGGACCGGACGAAGGCGGUCCACGCCAGGGCCGACACCGCCACGAACGUCGAGGGGGGCUGCUGCGGCGCCACGUGGCCCUGCGUGAUUCGCUGCUUCAGCCACUCGAUGCGCUCCGGGGUGACCACGAAGGUUCGCCGCGAUAGCAUGAAGCGGCCUUCAAAAGCGAGAUUCGCAGAGCGCAACUGUUUUUUUUUUUUUUUUUGGUGCAUUGAAAGAAAUAAAAAAUGUUAGACUCCAUGUAAUCACUAAUUACGAAUGUGUAACGUAAUGCCAUCACGAUUCUUAAAAAAAAAUCAUUUAAUCUCGUAUUCGGUUAAUUCUUUUAAAAAAUGUGUUAAAUUAUUAAGACAGAUCAAAUAACUCAAAUGCAAUAAAAAAAAUACUAAUAAACAUAUCAGUGAGACAUUUAAACAGUCAAAUAUUACUUUUGAUAUCAUAAAUUAUAUUAGCUUAAAUUUUGAAUUCAAAAUAUUGUUGACUAAAUCAUAUCAAAUAAAUUAAAAAGUAGAUAGUAAUAUUAAAAUUUUAUAAGAUGAAAUAGUAAAUUUAAAAUAUUUUAUAAUACAUAUAAGUUUUAUAUGUUUUUAUUAAGAAUUUAUUGUGUAUUCACGGUCUUCCCGAGAAGGAACUUUAUUGUGUAGCAGCUACGUAUCGAUAUCAUUUAUAACUAGUCAAUCGUAUUUUUAUUUUUGAGAAGGAAAAUACAGUAAAAAUAUUUUUCUAAAAAUUAUAAUAAAAUAAAAUGGAUGAAAUUUAAAAAUAUUAAUUGAUUGGUUGGAAACGCCACGUGAGUAAUAUGGCUAAUUGACUGCUGUAUUUCUAGAUCAUGAGUAGCUAUUAGAACUUUUUUUAGUUAUCUUACAUUUUAAAAUUCGUACCACAAUUCUGAAAUAACUGUUACUUGAUAAAAGUUUAAGCUAUCAAAAUAGAUUUUAUUUUAAUAUAAUAUAUUUAUAAUAACCAUCUUAAUAUAGAAAAAUUUUUGGCAUGGUUUAUGUGGCUGAACCAAAAGAGCACAACUACCUGAUCUUUGCAGAUUUUAUUGUCUAACUAUAUAAAAAAUUAUAUCUAAAAAUUAUAUACUUAAAAUAGCCUAAUCCCAAUCUUUCUGCCAAAUUAGUGGAUAAUGAGAGGGAAGGUAGGGAUGAAAAGGAAAAAAAAAAAAGAAAAAAAAGUGAGGCCCAACUCCACCGCACCUACCCCGAAAUUAACAUGGAGAUGUCAAAUAGUAUUGGGACUCGAGGUUCAUAUAUGGUUAUAGAUUAUAAAUGUUGUUGCAAUGGAUAAGGACUCGAAAAGAGUAUGUGCAUCCCAACAUUAAGGCAUGUUUGUUUCAAUGAAAGUGGGGCGAAAGUGGAGAGGAGGGAAGUCGGUUUCGCCCUAAACGAUCAUUUCUGUUAUUGGCUUGCCGUAAAAAAGUUACGGUCGAAACUCGAGUUAAUCUCAAACGGCGUAAUUUGCUUCAUCCCAUCGGGGGCGAAGUCGAUUACGGUAAAAAUAGAUAAAAAAUUAAUAAAAUAAUAUAAUAGAUAAAGCUAUUAUAUUUAAAUAUAUUUAAUUAUGUUACUAAUUAUUUUCUUAUUCAGUUAAUAUAUCUAAAAUAUGAUAAAAAUCGAUUAGUUAAGUUUUAAUAUUUUUUUUAUUUAGUUUGUACAUUUAAAAUAUGAUAAAAAUUGAUUAAUUAAGUAUUAAUAUUUUUUUGCUUUAUAAUUUUAUUAUUGUAUUACUAUAAUUUAUGUAUAAAAAAAUAAUUUAGUUGUUUUAAAUUAAAUUUUAAUUAUAUAAAAAUAUAAUUAUAUUAUUUUUAUUUAUUAAAAUAUUUAUUAUUUAUAUAUAAAUUAUAGUUUUAUAUUAUACACUUCCUACCAAACAAACAGCAGAACUGAUACAACUUCACUUCCAUAACUACGAAACAAAAAGCAGAAAAGAAAUAGUUUUUACCGAACUCCAGUUCAACCCAAAGUCCACUUCAACCCAUAGUCUACAUGUUUGUUUGGGUGGAAGUAGGGUGGAAGUGAAGAGGAGGGAUGUCAUUUUUGCCCUAAACGACUACUUCCGUUAUUUGGUUUGCCGUAAAAAAGUUACGGUUGAAACUCAAGUUAAUCUCAAACGGCGUAAUUGACUUCGUUCCAUCGUGGGCCGAAGUUAAUUAUGGUGAAGAGAGGUGAAAAAAAAAUAAAACAAUAUAAUAGAUAAAGCUAGUUAUAUUUAAAUAUAUUUAAUUAUGUUACUAAUUAUUUUUUUAUUCAGUUAAUAUAUCUAAAAUAUGAUAAAAAUUGAUUAGUUAAGUUUUAAUAUUUUUUUAUUUAGUUUGUACAUUUAAAAUAUGAUAAAAAUUGAUUAAUUAAGUAUUAAUAUUUUUUUACUUUAUAAUUUUAUUAUUGUAUUACUAUAAUUUAUGUAUAAAAAAAUAAUUUAGUUGUUUUAAAUUAAAUUUUAAUUAUAUAAAAAUAUAAUUAUAUUAUUUUUAUUUAUUAAAAUAUUUAUUAUUUAUAUAUAAAUUAUAGUUUUAUAUUAUACAUUUUCUACCAAACGAACAACAAAACUGAUGAAACUUCACUUCUAUAACUACGAAACAAACAGCGGAGAAGAAGUAGUUUUCACCGAGCUCCAGUUCAACCCAAAGUCCAGUUUCGGUGAAACAAACAUGCCCUAAGAGCUCCAAUGAUAUCAUAUUUAUUUAUUUCUAAGGCUAAAUUACAGAAAACCUUUCUAUCAAAACUCAAUUUUUUUAUUUUUUUCCUUGUCAUUUAAAAAACAUACACUUUGCCUCCUUGUAAAAUGAUAAAUGUUCACAGGGGGUACGGUGUGAACUGUGAUGAUAAAAUAAUCAUUUUGUCCCUCACCAUUUUGCCUCUCACCAUGUUCACAGAAGAGAAGGUUGAGGACAUUUUUGCCAUAAAAAAUAUAUAAUAAUAUAUUAUAAACGGAACCCUAACGGAUUACUAACGAUAGGGGGCGAAGUGAAUAUUUUUUAUUUUACAUGGAGGCAAAGUGUAAAUUUUUAAUGACAAAGAGGAAAAGUAAAAAAUCAGAUUUUGACAGAGAUGUUUUAUAUAAUUUAGCCUAUUUAUAAUUAGACAAAAUUUUAUAUAUUAAAAGAUAUAAAAGUAGACAGUAAAUUAUUUGUGAUUUUUUCAUACAAAAUAUUUACUUAGUAACAAAAACUAGAAAGAGUAAAUUUUUUUUUGGCAUCUAAUUUUUUAAAUAAGCUGUCAUCUACGACUUAACCGGAUACAUCAUAAGCUAGCUAAUCACGAUAACAAAAAAGAUUUUUCUUCGGCAUAUUAAAUUAUAUAGAAUUAAUAUUUAAAAGAAUAAAAAAUAAUAAUGAUAUUAAACGAGAUCUAAACUUUUUAAUUAAUAAGCUACUUGGCACUCGAUUCGAAACAAUUAAUUUUGUCCAAACAUGAGGAGGUCAAAGAAAAAAGAAGAAGAGUAGCUGUGAAUGACAAGAGGUAGUCCCAAUAACACGAAAAGAUGAAUGUGCAACGGACUUUGGAGUACAGACAAAAAUUUUAUGGGCAUCGUGAUCAAAUAAUUUGUUUGGGCACGGUGCCCGGAUGGGCGCCGCGUGUGCAGCGAUGCCCAUCCGCACCCUCCCUUCCCCCUCUCUUUCUCUUUGUUCCUAAAAAUCGAGCCCACCAUUUUUUAUUUUUUAUUAUUUUAGGGUGCGGUGGGCGCAGCUACACACGCAACGCCCAUCGGAGCACCGUGCCUAUAAAAUUAUUGUCCUUGGAGUACUAGCUUUGGAUGUAGAUCAAAAGCAUACGCCUUACUUAGCUCAAGAGAGUGAGUUAUAACUUCUAGGCCGUUUUUAAGAUCUAUUUGGAGCUGUAAUUUAUGUUUGCGUCUGCUUUCAAGAGAACAGUUUGACUAGAUGCGGUUGCGCAUGGCUAGACGUGGUGUCUUCCCAGCAAUGAUAAAGAAAAUUUGUACUUUAAUAACUUGUCAGUUUGAAUAUUAAUAAAUCAUUGAGAAUGGCUUCGCAGAUAAGGCUAAUUAUUGUGGCGUGAUUUGACUUUGACUGUAUGUACCACCGAAUAUCUGACGUACAAAAACCAACUGAUUUAAGACAAAUAGGGGCGGCUCCGAAGGAAGCAGUAAGCAUCAAGAUAAAAAAGUUGGAGAUGUGACAGCUGUCAAUACGGAUAAGUAUUGCAAGUUGAGCAUGCACGUAUACGCACCUUAGGAAGAUCCGGCGUGAACCGCCGCGCGAACUCCCGCGCGGCCUCGUCGGCCCUCGGGUGCCUGAUCAGCGCCCGGUCGAACGUCGGCGGCGCCCCGAGCUCGGUGUCGGUGGCCCCGCGGCACUCGGCCGCCCACGCCGCCAGGAACUGCCACACCGCCCGGCCGUCCGCGACAGCGUGGAGGGCCGAGACGCCGACGACCGCCCCGCCGCCGGCGAGCCUCGUGGCCUGCACGGACAGCACCGGCGCCGGCAUCUCAUCCGCGCCGAGCUCCGGCACCAGUCCCCGGAACGCCGCGACGUCGUGCUCCUCGUCGCCGGCGAGGCGGCGGAGGUCGCCGCCGUCGGCCUCGGCCUCGACGAAGGCGACGCCGGGGCCGACGGCAGCGGCGGAGCAGUCAACGGCGACGUCGCCGGUGGCGGGGAGGUAGGCGAGCUUGCCGGCGAGGGGGAAGAAGCGGCGGAGGGUGGCGGAGAGGGAGGAUUUGAGGGAUUGGAGGAGGGCCGGGAAGGGGGGCAGGUCGGGGGAGGGCUCGUNAA
Molecule: long non-coding RNA, 7691 nt
Filed under: Ananas comosus (pineapple)
Lineage: Eukaryota; Viridiplantae; Streptophyta; Magnoliopsida; Poales; Bromeliaceae
Description: long non-coding RNA (ACOM_LNC004351)
Source: RNAcentral